UGGCCACCCCUCCGUGAAGAUCGGUGUUCGUUUAUCUAUGGCCCGUUGAUGCAAACAGCGUCAAAAGAAUGGAUUAUUUGAUGGAAAAACAGUACAAGAACAUCAUGACCCUGAGCUGGCUGGUUGUCCAGGCACUGGAAGGACAUAAUUAUUCAGCAGAGUUUGCAUUCAAAGCCCCAAAAGAAACUCUUCGAAAGAUAUCAUGAACGACGCAAUCUUUGAUGAAAACCAUGAUGAGAUGGUGAUUGUCAAAGACAUCGAUUUGUUUUCACUCUGUGAACAUCACCUGGUGCCCUUCUUUGGCAAGAUGCAGUGGCUUCAAAACGCAAGUGAACAGUGAACAAUGCUGAUAAACCUGAUCAAAACAGCACCAGGCAAGACUGCAUUAGAACUAAAGACGACAACCCUUUUGCUAUGAGGAGGGUAAGGGAGGUGGGGGCUUUUACAAAUAUUCCCCCUCCCAGGUCCACCGCAUGGUCCAGCUGCGCUGCACUGAAACACAAUCCAGGAGCUGCCGGCACCGAAAGGCCAACUCAUUCUGGGACAGAUGUGAACACUCAAAUAUCUGUCUUCCUGGCCUCUCUCCAAGCAUCCAGACCAAUCCACUGUACAAUCACUUCACAUCACGAUCAAAUGUAGCAAGAAAUCGCACAAGCAGAGUUUUGUUCCAGUUGCUGCUGAUUUGUGUAUGGGCCAUGUGGUAAAGUAUGCAAAAGACUAGUGAAAGAGCCUGCAAGGCAUUGUGACUGAAAUCUGCAAGUCUUUUGCCGUGAAUAGAGGAGCUGUGGCUUUCUAAUUCUUCCCCCAGGGACUUGUAAGUAAACCAGUGAUUGUGUUUCCCGUAAACAGCACUGAUUUGAGUGGAGGGCAGAUGAAACUAAUCUGAUAAUGGCUCUUUAGCUUUCAGCCUAUCUUGCUAACUGAAGGAAAACUAGAGAAGAGAAAAGGAGAGGUGACAAGGAGAGGAAAGUGCAUAUACCAAUUUCCCAUGAGGAGCCAUUUCCUGAGCACAGAUUAAGCUGAAUCCCAGACGAGAAAACACUCAGAUGUUUCCAGCAGUCAGAGCAGUUGGCUUCAGCAUUAGGCUCACAGUAAGUCACUCAAAGUUUCUCCCAAUGACUGCAUCAGCUAAAUGGCUAAAUGU
Molecule: long non-coding RNA, 1144 nt
Organism: Seriola aureovittata
Lineage: Eukaryota; Metazoa; Chordata; Actinopteri; Carangiformes; Carangidae
Exons: 6
Source: RefSeq, a predicted model, not a curated record